UACGUAGGUGGCAAGCGUUGUUCGGAAUUAUUGGGCGUAAAGGGUGCGUAGGCGGCGCGGUAAGUCGGGUGUGAAAUCUCGGGGCUUAACUCCGAAACUGCAUUCGAUACUGCCGUGCUUGAGGACUGGAGAGGAGACUGGAAUUUACGGUGUAGCGGUGAAAUGCGUAGAUAUCGUAAGGAAGACCAGUGGCGAAGGCGGGUCUCUGGACAGUUCCUGACGCUGAGGCACGAAGGUCAGGGGAGCAAACGGG
Molecule: ribosomal RNA, 253 nt
Filed under: uncultured bacterium
Lineage: Bacteria
Description: partial 16S ribosomal RNA
Rfam family: Bacterial small subunit ribosomal RNA
Source: RNAcentral